AACGAACGCUGGCGGCAUGCCUAACACAUGCAAGUCGAACGAGAUCUUCGGGUCUAGUGGCGCACGGGUGCGUAACGCGUGGGAAUCUGCCCUUUGGUUCGGAAUAACAGUUGGAAACGACUGCUGAUACCGGAUGAUGACGAAAGUCCAAAGAUUUAUCGCCAGAGGAUGAGCCCGCGUAGGAUUAGCUAGUUGGUGUGGUAAAGGCGCACCAAGGCGACGAUCCUUAGCUGGUCUGAGAGGAUGAUCAGCCACACUGGGACUGAGACACGGCCCAGACUCCUACGGGAGGCAGCAGUGGGGAAUAUUGGACAAUGGGCGAAAGCCUGAUCCAGCAAUGCCGCGUGAGUGAUGAAGGCCUUAGGGUUGUAAAGCUCUUUUACCCGGGAUGAUAAUGACAGUACCGGGAGAAUAAGCUCCGGCUAACUCCGUGCCAGCCGCCGCCGCGG
RNAcentral lists this ribosomal RNA (449 nucleotides) under uncultured bacterium. RNAcentral describes it as "partial 16S ribosomal RNA". It matches the Rfam family "Bacterial small subunit ribosomal RNA", at positions 29 to 523 of the family's 1533-position model. The record is from RNAcentral.